GUCUCUUUUCCGUUCCAGUUCCAGUCCUGACAGUCUUGGCAAUUGAUCUUUCCAUCGCGACUCACGACUACUUGAAAGUCAAGGGGAUAAAUCAAUCUUCCGAUAGGCAAGCGGUGAUUAGUUGUUUCCUUGUCUAUGUCUUGAAAGUUCCUCUUUCAAGUAAAGCUAACAAAAGACACUCUUUCUUCUUCUGGUCAGGUAGCCAGGUACGAGUAGGC
Molecule: long non-coding RNA, 218 nt
Filed under: Amborella trichopoda
Lineage: Eukaryota; Viridiplantae; Streptophyta; Magnoliopsida; Amborellales; Amborellaceae
Description: long non-coding RNA (ATRI_LNC004893)
Source: RNAcentral